Molecule: transfer RNA, 61 nt
Filed under: Eucriotettix oculatus
Lineage: Eukaryota; Metazoa; Arthropoda; Insecta; Orthoptera; Tetrigidae
Description: tRNA-Arg
Source: RNAcentral
UAAUAAGAAGCUAGUAGCUCUCAGUUUCGGCCUGAAUUUUAGGUAAAUUUACCCUUAUUAA